This 2285-nucleotide long non-coding RNA is filed under the name Homo sapiens (human). RNAcentral describes it as "HSALNT0002637". The record is from RNAcentral. Lineage: Eukaryota; Metazoa; Chordata; Mammalia; Primates; Hominidae.
CAAGAAUAUGGGCUGGAGCCAGAUAGAAUGGGGGUGAAUCCUGCCCCUGCCCCUGACUAGCUGGGUGACCCUGGGCACCCCUUAUAAGCCUCAGUUUCCUCAUCUGGAAAAGGGGAGUGCGAAUGACAGCCACUUCCCUGGACUGAAGUGAGGAGCUAAAUGAGCCAGUGCAUAGGAAGGGCUUGGUGGUUGGCUACAAAGUUUUUAUCUUUAUUGUACAUAAUCAAGAUUAAUAAAGGGGUGGUCCAAAGAAAGUCCGGUCAUUCCUAUCACAUGGAAAAAGCAAUCAGGUGAUGAUAAGGCUUCUUUUCCUGGCUCUCGAGGAGGUAGGAAUAUGUGAUAUUUUUUCCUUCUGAAACUUUCUCUAGCUUGGUUGUAUUUCUUUUACCCAGCCCUUUCCCUGAGUGUCCCACACUAGACAGCUGGAGAUCAGUGAAGACUUUCCUCAUCCCCAAAUGAACUUGACCUUUAACCCGGGGCAAACUGAACAAAUAGGGGCAAACUGAACAAGUGGGGGCAAAAUGAAGAAAGGAGUUUGCUUUCCAUGCCGGCCAGACUUGCAAAUUCCUUUACCUGGGCUCUUGUUCUUGCUCCUUCCUGUAGCACGGUAAAAUGAAAACAAAUGAAAAACCCUGGGCAUUGGAUCAGGAGACCUGGGUUUGAAUUGUGCAUCUGCUACUCCCCUGCCAGGGUUCCUCUUCCAACAGAUCAGGGUCAGAACAGCCCCACCUUGGAGGGUGGAAGUGAAGUUUCUAGGAGGUAACCAUACCAAGUUCCUACUAUGCUGGUAAAAUGCCAGACUCAAGGUAGGUGUGAACGAGGCGCUCACUGAACGCUAGUGACCUCUGUGCAUGGGUGGUGCCCGGCGGUCACACACCAAUAAGACCCUGGCGCCUGGUGACACCUCUAAAUGUUUCUCACUGGCUUUCUUCUGUGUGGUUUGGCAGAUCUGUGACUUCUGCCCUUAGGUCAGAGACUUGGGAACCCAGGAGGCUCUGGGCAGGCGUGCCUGAGUGGUCAGGUUGGGACGUUUAGGAUUCCCGCACCCACCCUGCUCUUUUUCUAAGGGAUGCACUGUUUGUUGUUUGUUGAGCCUCUCGCUGGGCACUUGCAGGGGUCAAGUAACAAGUGGACCAUGGUGUGAGUCCUCAAUGCCACCCUGGCUAGAAUCCCCCAAAAUAUGCAUGUUCAAAUGAGAACAGCAAAGGGAACUAAUGUUUGCUUCAUGCCAACGAGAAACCACGUGAUGUUCCUCACUUAAUCUUUGCAGCAUCCUGAAAAGGUGGCAGUAAUUUGUUCCACUUUACAAAUGAAGUAGCUGAGAUACAGAGAAGUUAUGUAACUUGCUGAGGUCAUGUAGCCAACACAUACUGAUCUCUCACUCACAUGCUGAAAGUCCUUUGCUCUCUUCCACUUGCUCUGAGGACAAAUUCAAACUUCUUGCCACAGCUCACAUGCCCCUGUGUGGUCUGGCUCCACCCACAUUCCUGCCUUCUGCCUCCCUGCUGCAGCCAUCCUGUGCUCUUUUGGUUCUUUCAAACCGCUGGGCCUUUGCACCUGCUGUCCCUUUGCUUGGAAUACACUUUCUGCUCCUGGUUUAUCGGGCUAACUCCCAGCUAGCCCUUAGCCUAAUGUCACUUCCUUCAGAACCUUCCCCAGAAACACCCUGUGCUUCCCCUAUUGUGCCAUCCAUAAAGCUCCCAUUUAGUUACUCGGUCUGUCUUCUAUCUUGGGCUGUAUGUUCUGUGGGAGUAGAGGCCAUGGCUGUGCUGCUCACCACUGAAUUCCUAAGACCUGGUUCAGUAUAUGACACAUGGUAAGUACAGCACUUUAUAAAUACCGCUACAUGGACAGAGAGGUGGAUGGGUGGAUGGAUGAACAGAUGGGUGGGCAGAUGGGUGGGUGAAUGGACAGACAGGUGGGUGGGUGGAUGGGUGGAUAGGUAGAAGGGUGGAUGGAUGAAUGGAUGGGUGGGUGCAUGGAUAGAUAGGUAGAAGUGUGGAUGGAUGCAUGGGUUCAUGGGUGGGUAGACAGGUGAGUGGGUGGACAGGUAGACAGGUAGAAGAGUAGAUGGAUGGAUGGAUAGAUAGAAGGGUGGUUAAGUGGGUGGGUAGAUGGAUGAACAGGUGGGUGGAUGGAUGGGUAAACAGGUAAAAGGGUGGGUGGGUGGGUAGGUGGAUGGGUGGAUGGACAGGUGGGUAGGUGGAUAGAUGGAUGGCGAGAUGAUGGGCAGGUGGACAGAUGUGAGAUGAAGUUGCCUCACCUCUCUGAGCCUCAGUUUCUUC